This 220-nucleotide unclassified non-coding RNA is filed under the name uncultured Terriglobales bacterium. Its description in RNAcentral is "uncultured Acidobacteriales bacterium contains 16S-23S intergenic spacer region". It matches the Rfam family "Bacterial small subunit ribosomal RNA", at positions 976 to 1194 of the family's 1533-position model. The record is from RNAcentral. Lineage: Bacteria; Pseudomonadati; Acidobacteriota; Terriglobia; Terriglobales.
UGGGCUCGAAAUGCAGGAGACCGGGGUAGAAAUAUCCUUUUCUCGCAAGAGACUGCUGUAUAGGUGCUGCAUGGCUGUCGUCAGCUCGUGUCGUGAGAUGUUGGGUUAAGUCCCGCAACGAGCGCAACCCUCAUCCCUAGUUGCCAUCGGGUCAAGCCGGGCACUCUAGUGAAACCGCCCCGGAUAACGGGGAGGAAGGUGGGGAUGACGUUCGUCUGAC